RNAcentral lists this ribosomal RNA (303 nucleotides) under uncultured bacterium. RNAcentral describes it as "partial 16S ribosomal RNA". It matches the Rfam family "Bacterial small subunit ribosomal RNA", at positions 507 to 807 of the family's 1533-position model. The record is from RNAcentral.
AGCAGUAGCCGCGGGAAUACGAGGGGGGCAAGCGUUGUUCGGAAUUAUUGGGCGUAAAGGGUGCGUAGGCGGCUUGACAAGUCUUGUGUGAAAUCUAUGGGCUCAACCCAUAGUCUGCACGGGAAACUGUCGGGCUUGAGAAUGGGAGAGGUGAGUGGAAUUUCCGGUGUAGCGGUGAAAUGCGGAGAUAUCGGAAGGAACACCUGUGGCGAAAGCGGCUCACUGGACCAUUUCUGACGCUGAUGCACUAAAGCUAGGGGAGCAAACAGGAUUAGAUACCCCCGUAGUCCCUGUCUCUUAUAC